RNAcentral lists this ribosomal RNA (253 nucleotides) under uncultured bacterium. Its description in RNAcentral is "partial 16S ribosomal RNA". It matches the Rfam family "Bacterial small subunit ribosomal RNA", at positions 524 to 776 of the family's 1533-position model. The record is from RNAcentral.
UACGUAGGGUGCGAGCGUUGUCCGGAAUUAUUGGGCGUAAAGGGCUCGUAGGCGGUUUGUCGCGUCGGGAGUGAAAACACCGGGCUUAACUCGGUGCUUGCUUUCGAUACGGGCAGACUUGAGGCAUGCAGGGGAGAACGGAAUUCCUGGUGUAGCGGUGAAAUGCGCAGAUAUCAGGAGGAACACCGGUGGCGAAGGCGGUUCUCUGGGCAUGUUCUGACGCUGAGGAGCGAAAGCGUGGGGAGCGAACAGG